CUACUCCAUCCUGCCCACACAGCCUGCUGCACACCUGGAAAGCACAUUACGUGACUGAUGAGCGCUUGUCUUAACGAAGGCAUGACUUUCUGCUGGAGCCACACAGAGCGGAGCAAAGACUCGGUGACAAGCUGCACGAUCAUCCCCCGGGGUGGUUCAGUACUGUUAUCGCUGCUAACAGACAAGGAAACUGAGGCAGCAGCCAGAGCAGUGAUUGACAGCAGCCGUCAUUAGCGAAUGAGGCUCAGGGCUGGGAAGCAGACCUGGGAGUCCUGCCUCUGGCUCAGCACCAAGGCACAAGGUCUCCUGUAGUGCCAAUGCCCAUAGCUUUCAGCCAGUUCGGAUCACACCGAGCCAAAACACAGGCUUUGACAAAAGCACAUCUUCCACGGAGGCAAGUGAUUUGGUUCAUCUCUGUGAAGAGACCCUAUUCAAAGCUCUCCUCAUCCUUUUAAUUAACCUCCGUGCAGAUUUCAUCCUCUGGGUGCGCUGGAGUCUGUGCGCACAGGCAGGUCUGCAUGAGAAGGGCACACAAGUGCUCGGAGCGGCUGUUCCCAAAGCCCAGCAGAAGCGAGGGACCUCCUCUCCUCCCUCAAGGCCCCAGCCCCGGGUCAGGGAGCCGGGCCGUCGAUGUUUAGUCUGGAAUGGUCUGCGGGACACGAUUUGGUGGUGUUCCCGUGAUACUUCGCACAAUGAGCUUAGGGAGGACAAUGCGGUUGCUUUGUGAGACGUGGCGAUGCUGUGUCUUGUGACACAGCCUAUUAGCAGAUUGGCUAAUGCCGGGUGUGCAGCUGCUUUCUGUCACGGGGAAGGCUGAAAGCAGCCAGAAUAUACCUGUGAAUCCUGCCUCUAAUUACUGAGAGCAAAAAAAAAACCAGUGUGCUCCUGGUUUUCCCGUAUCUGAGCACCUUACAGGCACAUGGAAAAUAGCAGUCCAUAACAAGAACAAAAAUCCCUUUUUAUGCCUUACUAAAAUCCUGCUUAGUAAACAGAAUUACUCUUAAAACAGGCUGUGACAGAGAGAUACAAGGGAAGACAGACACUUCCUUUCAUGAAGACAACUUAUUAAACAGCUGAGUGGAUUUUGCUACCUCUGCUUAACCCCAGCUGUCUCUACACCCCCUAUUUAAGACGUUUUGCCUCUUUAAAGGACCUUUCUGGCAGCCCUCCAUCAGUGCUGAAUUUUUCAGGAGGCGGGGGGAGAAGGGAUGGGACGUGAAGCAGCCCAGUGAGGGAACAUAACAUUUUUCCUUUCAUUUCACUAAGGCCAAGAUUUGGCCUUCUUGCUGAGGGUGGCUCGGUGGUAAUAAGGAUCCCGGCAGUGAACUUCCUGUGAACUGAUGGGAAAAGCCCUUCUCCCGGAGAGAGGAGACAAUAUCCAAGGGCUGUGUACAGAAAAGGGAGGUAGUCAGCUAAUAAAGAAAAUUAACCCGGUGGACAUGAUUUGCCCGCAUUCUCCAAAGCUGGAGCUCUUUUAUAAGGCUUGCCGCAGAAAGCUCUUAAGGAUAACAACUAAUCCCUGGAUAAGGGUCAAAGUUCUUACUGGGCAUUAAAACCUGGUGAUGUGAUUAGAGAAAAAGUGAAAAUUUGCUGCUCAGAGCAGAGCCUCCAACGAGGAAGCCGCAGGGUGCCAUGUCCUGGUCGCUGCUGAAUGAUCCCAGGACACCAGAGAUGAAGAGCUAAUGGCUUUGGCUGAUGGUGCUCAGAUGUCGGAGGAGCCCAGAAGGGAUGGAAAGAUUAUUUGGAGUGAAGCAGCCCAGCAGCCCUCUGAAACGGCCACUGGGACAGGUGCAAGGUGACGUACCCUGGCACGGGACAGCCAUAACUUCACCUCUCCACCAAUGGGCCUUGAAGGUCCCCUCUGGAAAAAAAUAUUUAGCAGUUGCUGUGGAUACCUCCGAUUAGAUGCCUGGGUUUUGUGUGUGUCUGCAACCUAGAAGGCAAACAGGACUCAAGUGACUUAGAACCAGGAGAGAAACUAUAAAAAAUAUCCACAGUGAGACAAUGAUAUAUAAACAAUCCUUUCCAGGCUUAGGAAAGGUUUGAGAUUGACAACACCAGAAGAUGGGGAGUGGAUUAAAAAUAGGGUGGGACCUGGUUGUAAAGGGAUAUGGCAAAAGACUGGAGAGCGGGGUCUGAAGUGUGCCGGAGGGGGCUGGGUGAUGGGAUUUAAGGCUAGGAAGGAAAAUCGUUGCUGGCAAAUCACCCGCCCAGCUGAACCCCAUGGCAGUUUGAAAAUGAAUGCAAUCUGGGGACAUCUACCUUCUGAGCUUUCGGAGUAUGCUUGGGUCAUGCUGGAUUUUGUCUUCUGCAAGCAAGAAGGCUUGAAACCUUUUUGGUUUGACUAAAAGCUAUUAGUCUUGCACAUCACACAGCUCUUGCGCUGGUGCAAAUAGCACAAAAUUCUCAGUAAAAUUGUCGGUGUUGGUGGCCUGGGCUCUAAUAGCUGCUUCUUUGCCUGCAUGGUCUGAUGGAGGGUUGCCUGGGGCAGGUUCCCCAAGCUCAGACAUUCCUGCAAGCCCUAGGUGCACGUUUUCCAGCUUGGAGCAAUUUACUCCACUGAGAGCUGUGUCCAUGAGAGUGCAGGAGGUUUCGCAACUGGGAGGGUUCCCUGAGCCCAGGGCUGACAGAUAAAUUUGGGCCUGCCCCACCCCACUCCUCAGACACACUCAGCCUCUUCCUCCCCAUCCUCCCACCCUACAUGGCAUCCCUUACCUUCCUCCCUCGUUGGUCUUGCACUAUACCCCACCCUUCCUGGCCAGCAAAGCCCCUCCAGGCUGUGCCUUGCUGUUUCCCCUCCCCAUCACCCCCAUACUCCAUAUGCAGCACCCCAAUUCUAGCUGAAUCAUGGGUCUAAAAUUCUAGAUUGUAGUGACUACAGCUGUAGGAUUCCCUGUAGGGAGUUGCAACCCUCCUAACUUUUCUGAAGUGGGGUUGGGAGCUCUUUUCGGCCAUACUACAGCACAAUUACAUGCCAUAACAUCACCCAAAUGGUGAGUAAUAGGCACCUCCCAUCCCAAAAUCUCACAAAAAUGGCCCCAGCCCCAUCAGCAGUGGCAAGGCCAUGGCCCAUACUAAUCUUUUACAAUGAGGGCAGAAAGUAGCUCCCUUCAAAGGAGCCACCAGAAAUGGAGAAGGAAUGAGAACAAAGCUUGGAUGUGCACCUACAGCAAGUGGGAGAAAUACCUACCAGCAAAGUAAAUAAAACAUGCAUGUACACUAUUUUUACAGCUCCUAUA
Molecule: non-coding RNA, 3239 nt
Organism: Anas platyrhynchos (mallard)
Lineage: Eukaryota; Metazoa; Chordata; Aves; Anseriformes; Anatidae
Source: RefSeq, a predicted model, not a curated record